AGUGAACGCUGGCGGCAGGCCUAACACAUGCAAGUCGAGCGGCAGCGGGUCCUUCGGGAUGCCGGCGAGCGGCGGACGGGUGAGGAAUGCAUCGGAAUCUGCCCUGUCGUGGGGGAUAACCUAGGGAAACUUAGGCUAAUACCGCAUACGACCCACGGGUGAAAGCGGGGGAUCGCAAGACCUCGCGCGAUAGGAUGAGCCGAUGUCCGAUUAGCUAGUUGGCGGGGUAAAGGCCCACCAAGGCGACGAUCGGUAGCUGGUCUGAGAGGAUGAUCAGCCACACUGGGACUGAGACACGGCCCAGACUCCUACGGGAGGCAGCAGUGGGGAAUAUUGGACAAUGGGCGCAAGCCUGAUCCAGCCAUGCCGCGUGGGUGAAGAAGGCCUUCGGGUUGUAAAGCCCUUUUGUCCGGGAAGAAAUGGUCUGGGCUAAUACCCCGGGCGGAUGACGGUACCGGAAGAAUAAGCACCGGCUAACUUCGUG
RNAcentral lists this ribosomal RNA (484 nucleotides) under uncultured bacterium. RNAcentral describes it as "partial 16S ribosomal RNA". It matches the Rfam family "Bacterial small subunit ribosomal RNA", at positions 30 to 507 of the family's 1533-position model. The record is from RNAcentral.